AUUAAUAUGGUUUUAAUGGGAAUUUAUGUUUUAACACAAAUGUAAUUAAGAAGUGAAACAUGGAAGUCAACGGUCAAAGUUGAUUCAUAUAAGUAUUUUUGCACCGAAUUCUUUCCAUACUAAAAAGGCUCUUCAGCAUAUCAUUUGGAAGCCAAGAUUUAAGCAAGCUCGUAUUGCAAAAUUAAGCAUGUUAAAUUAAUAGGUUGACAUAGAGGAGUUUCUCCAAAUUAAGGAUAUACAUCUGCCGGUGUGUCAAGGUUCAUUCACAUACAAUUUUUUUCUUUUUCCUUGACAAUUCUUAUUUUAACGAGUCGAAAUAGAAAAGGGUAUGUUUAUGUUUUUGUAGUGGUAGAAGGCAAAAUUCCGAUUUCUUUGGCGCCGCGAUCUAAAGGUACCGUUGGAAAGAGGAAGUCCUGCUGAUUAAAAAAAGGUAUGGGGUUAUAGGUACCGCAAACGCUUAGUUUACGAGAAAAUUCCCAAAAUUCCAACAUUUAAACAAGCUAUUUAAACACACUUUUCACUUCAAAUUAAUUUAAUCAAGCUGUCAAUAUUUAAACAAAUUCACAAUUUACACUUUUUGUAGGUUUUAUAAGCAAAAAAUGUAUAUUUGAAAAAUCACUUUUUACACUCGUAGUGAACAUCAUUUAUGGGGGAAAUUUUAGUAUACGAUCCCACGAUUUCAGGGUUAAAAGUGGUAUGGUUGGAUAGGGCUGAUGCUCCAGAUUAAGAAAAUAUAUAAUUGUUGCCGCCGCAAACUUAUAGUUUUCGAGAUAUUUGCAUUUAAAGUUGAAAAUUUUGCAAAUUUUAUCUUACAAUUUCUCGAUUUCUAGUAAUUAUUUAUUUCAUAUUAUGCACUUUUUAUGCACUUAUACUUCAUAACAUUGUUUCUACAUAUUUAUUUUUUAGUAAUUAUUUAGUUAUUUGCUUAAAAUAAGCAUUUUAUAUUUUACACAAUUUUCACUCAAUGCACAAUAACAAAAGUAUUCCGUGUUUACAGAUAUUAAGUGUUGCCAUAAUUACACAUAUAUCAAACGAAUAAAAAUGGAUAUAAAAACUCAAACGCAGAAAACAAAUACUUCUUCUUCUUCUUCACUGGCGUAGACACCGCUUACGCGAUUAUAGCCGAGUCAACAACAGCGCGCCAAUCGUUUCUUCUCUUCGCUACGUGGCGCCAAUUGGAUAUUCCAAGCGAGGCCAGGUCCUUCUCCACUUGGUCCUUCCACCGGAGUGGAGGUCUUCCUCUUCCUCUGCUUCCCGCGGCGGGUACUGCGUCGAAUACUUUCAGAGCUGGAGUGUUUUCAUCCAUCCGGACAACAUGACCUAGCCAGCGUAGCCGCUGUCUUUUAAUUCGCUGGACUAUGUCAAUGUCGUCGUAUAUCUCGUACAGCUCAUCGUUCCAUCGGAUGCGAUAUUCGCCGUGGCCAACGUGCAAAGGACCAUAAAUCUUCCGCAGAACUUUUCUCUCGAAAACUCGCAACGUCGACUCAUCGGUUGUUGUCAUCGUCCAAGCCUCUGCACCAUAUAGCAGGACGGGAAUUAUGAGCGACUUAUAGAGUUUGGUUUUUGUUCGUCGAGAGAGGACUUUACUUUUCAAUUGCCUACUCAGUCCGAAGUAGCACCUGUUGGCAAGAGUAAUCCUGCGUUGGAUUUCUAGGCUGACAUUGUUGGUGGUGUUAAUGCUGGUUCCUAAGUAGACGAAAUUAUCUACAACUUCAAAGUUAUGACUGUCAACAGUGACGUGAGUGCCAAGUCGCGAGUGCGACGACUGUUUGUUUGAUGACAGGAGAUAUUUCGUCUUGCCCUCGUUCACUGCCAGACCCAUUUGCGUUGCUUCCUUGUUCAGUCUGGAGAAAGCAGAACUAACGGCGCGGGUGUUGAGACCGAUGAUAUCAAUAUCAUCGGCAUACGCCAGCAGCUGUACACUCUUAUAGAAGAUUGUACCUGCUCGAUUAAGUUCUGCAGCUCUAAUAAUUUUCUUCAGCAGCAGAUUGAAGAAAUCGCACGAUAGGGAGUCGCCUUGUCUGAAACCUCGUUUGGUAUCGAACGGCUCGGAGAGGUUCUUCCCGAUCCUGACGGAGCUUUUGGUGCCGCUCAACGUCAGUUUACACAGCCGUAUCAGUUUUGCGGGGAUACCAAAUUCAGACAUCGCGGCAUAAAGGCAGCUCCUUUUCGUGCUGUCGAAAGCAGCUUUGAAAUCGACGAAUAGGUGGUGAGUGUCGAUUCUCCUUUCACGGGUCUUUUCCAAGAUUUGGCGCAUGGUGAAUAUCUGGUCGGUUGUUGAUUUACCAGGUCUGAAGCCACACUGAUAAGGUCCAAUCAGCUUGUUGACAGUGGGCUUUAAUCUUUCACACAAUACGCUCGACAGAACCUUAUAUGCGAUGUUGAGGAGGCUAAUCCCACGGUAGUUGGCGCAGAUUGUGGGGUCUCCUUUUUUAUGGAUUGGGCAUAGCACACUUAAAUUCCAACCGUUGGGCAUGCUCUCAUCCGACCAUAUUUUGCAAAGAAGCUGAUGCAUGCUCCUUAUCAGUUCUUCUCCGCCGUGUUUGAAUAGCUCGGCCGGCAAUCCGUCGGCCCCUGCCGCUUUGUUGUUCUUCAGGCGGGCAACUGCUAUUCGAACUUCGUCAUGGCCGGGCAAUGGAACGUCUGCUCCAUCGUCAUCGAUUGGGGAAUCGGGUUCGCCUUCUCCUGGUGCUAUGUGUUCACUGCCAUUCAGCAGGCUGGAGAAGUGUUCCCUCCAUAAUCUAAGUAUGCUCUGGGCAUCGGUGGCUAGAUCACCUUUGGGGGUUCUACAGGAGUAUGCUCCGGUCUUGAAACCUUCUGUAAGUCGCCGCAUUUUUUCGUAGAAUUUUAGAGCAUUACCCCUGUCGGCCAGCUUAUCAAGCUGUUCGUACUCACGCAUUUCGGCCUCUUUCUUCUUCUGUCUGCAAAUGCGUCUCGCUUCCCUCUUCAACUCUCGGUAUCUAUCCCAUCCCGCACGUGUUGUGGUCGAUCGUAACGUUGCGAGGUAGGCAGCCUGUUUUCUCUCCGCUGCGACACGGCACUCCUCGUCGUACCAGCUGUUCCUUUGCACUUUCCGAAAACCAAUGGUUUCGGUUGCAGCUGUACGCAAGGAGUUUGAAAUGCCGUCCCACAGUUCCCUUAUACCGAAUUGUUGAUGAGUGCUCUCAGAGAGCAGGAGUGCAAGCCGAGUAGAAAAACGUUCGGCUGUCUGUUGUGAUUGCAGCUUCUCGACGUCGAACCUUCCUUGUGUUUGUUGGCGUGCGUUUUUUGCUGCACAGAGGCGGGUGCGAAUUUUGGCUGCAACAAUAUAGUGGUCCGAGUCGAUGUUAGGACCUCGGAGCGCACGCACAUCUAAAACACUGGAGACGUGUCUUCCGUCUAUCACAACAUGAUCGAUCUGGUUGGUGGUUUUUCGAUCCGGAGACAGCCAGGUAGCUUGAUGUAUCUUCUUAUGCUGGAAUCUAGUACUACAGAUAACCAUAUUUCGGGCCCCGGCGAAGUCGAUCAGCCUCAACCCAUUUGGGGAUGUUUCGUCGUGGAGGCUGAAUUUACCGACUGUAGUGCCAAAGAUACCUUCUUUGCCCACCCUGGCGUUAAAGUCGCCAAGCACGAUUUUGACAUCGUGGCGGGGGCAUCUCUCAUAAGUGCGCUCCAAGCACUCAUAAAAGGCAUCUUUGGUCACAUCGUCCUUCUCUUCAGUCGGGGCGUGGGCGCAAAUCAGCGAUAUGUUGAAGAACCUCGCUUUGAUGCGGAUUGUGGCUAGACGUUCAUUCACCGCAGUGAAUGAUAGUACUCGGCGACGGAGUCUCUCUCCCACCACGAAUCCAACACCAAACUUGCGCUUCUUUAUAUGGCCACUGUAGUAAAUGUUACAAGGACCUACUUGUCUCUGUCCUUGUCCCGUCCAUCGCAUUUCUUGGACGGCGGUGAUGUCAGCCUUUAUCUGUACGAGGACAUCAACCAGCUGGGCAGCGGCACCUUCCCAAUUAAGGGACCGGACAUUCCAGGUGCAUGCCCUCAAUUCGUAGUCCUUCUUUCGUUUGCCAUGGUCGUCAUCAAAAGGGGGGUCACUCAUCCGAGGCUUGUUGUUCCUUUUCAUUGGGGGUGUUUUUUUACGUGGCGGGUCCCAAACCCAGCGCACAAC
This is a long non-coding RNA of Bactrocera dorsalis (oriental fruit fly), 4144 nucleotides long. RefSeq lists it as uncharacterized. The transcript has 3 exons. The record is from RefSeq and is a predicted model, not a curated record. NCBI's taxonomy places the organism in Eukaryota, Metazoa, Arthropoda, Insecta, Diptera, Tephritidae.